UACAGCAGGACUUGUGUUCCGGAAAUACUCGCAAGACAAGGAUGCGAUGUGACGGUUCUUCUUGAGCGGUUCUUCAAGGACAUCAACGCUGAUUGUGGAACAUCGAAGCCAGUCUGCUUGGAGUGCAAUCAGAAAGCAAUAUCCGAUGCGGAAGAUGUGUGCUUGAGGAAAUACGUACAGGAACACGGCAUCAUUUCUAGAGGCCUGUUGUCCAGCAAUGAAAAACGACUGUGCUGCAUGUUGGACUACAAGAAGAGUUGUGUUCCAGACCAAUUAAAA
Ornithodoros turicata is the source of this 279-nucleotide long non-coding RNA. RefSeq lists it as uncharacterized. The record is from RefSeq and is a predicted model, not a curated record. NCBI's taxonomy places the organism in Eukaryota, Metazoa, Arthropoda, Arachnida, Ixodida, Argasidae. The transcript is spliced from 3 exons.